UGAAUUGAUAAAACUUUAGGUUUUGCUUGAGUUUUUGAGAAAUUGAAUUAAUUUUUUGCGUGAAUUAGUUAUAGAAUUUGAAAAGUUUGCGUGAAUUAUAUUAUAUUUAAGUUGCGUGAACUAUAUUUGAUUUUGCUUGAUUUUUUUUAUUUUUUGCUUGAAUUAAUAAAACUUUAGUUUUUGCUUGAAUUAUUGUUUAGUUUGUUUGAAUUAUUUAGUUUUUGCUUGAAUUAGUAAAACUUUAGGUUUUGCUUGAAUUUUUGACGAACUGAAUUAUUUUUUUCCGUGAAUUAGUUACAAAAUUUGAAAAGUUUGCGUAAAAUUUUUGCGUUAAUUAUAAAUUGCGUAAAUUAUAUAUAAAUUGGGUGAAUUAUAUAUAAUAUUGCGUGAAUU
This 393-nucleotide long non-coding RNA is filed under the name Salvia miltiorrhiza (redroot sage). RNAcentral's name for it is "long non-coding RNA (SMIL_LNC011801)". The record is from RNAcentral. Lineage: Eukaryota; Viridiplantae; Streptophyta; Magnoliopsida; Lamiales; Lamiaceae.